This 254-nucleotide ribosomal RNA is filed under the name uncultured bacterium. Its description in RNAcentral is "partial 16S ribosomal RNA". It matches the Rfam family "Bacterial small subunit ribosomal RNA", at positions 524 to 776 of the family's 1533-position model. The record is from RNAcentral.
GACGAACCGUGCGAACGUUAUUCGGAAUCAUUGGGCUUAAAGCGCGUGUAGGCGGGUUCGUGCGUCUGUCGCUGAAAUCCCCCGGCUCAACCGGGGAAGUGGCACGGAUACGACGAGUCUGGAGGGGCAUAGGGGGACCUGGAACUUCCGGUGGAGCGGUGAAAUGCGUAGAGAUCAGGAAGAACACCCGUGGCGCAAGCGGCCACCUGGCUGCCAACUGACGCUGAGGCACGAGAGCGUGGGGAGCGAACCGG